This is a long non-coding RNA of Branchiostoma floridae (Florida lancelet), 368 nucleotides long. RefSeq lists it as uncharacterized. Lineage: Eukaryota; Metazoa; Chordata; Leptocardii; Amphioxiformes; Branchiostomatidae. The record is from RefSeq and is a predicted model, not a curated record. The transcript is spliced from 3 exons.
AGCACGUUUCUUGUUGGUGGAGAAUAUUUUAUUUUGUUGUUAGUAAAAUGAAUAUUUUUCUACAAAUCAGGACAUUGCCGGUGACAAUGAAGGUGAUGCUGGGUUGGAGCAGCCAAAAUCAGCGGCUGAAGAGAAGUCAGAGAUGUGCAGGAAGGCAAUCGAAAGAUUGAGAUCUGAAACCGGUAGAGCGCAGACGCCGCAACGAGUAGAAAUGAUCUCUGAGUUAUCAUCGCUUGUGAUUACGUCAUGCCCCGACAUUCCACAGGAAAACGCCUUCAAGAGCACAGCACUAGACGUUCUGCAGUCCAUCACCAGCAAACUGGGCAAACUGGACAUGUCUGACACGUCCACUGUGGAGGCUGUGGGAG